This 121-nucleotide microRNA precursor is filed under the name Tursiops truncatus (common bottlenose dolphin). Its description in RNAcentral is "miRNA (ENSTTRG00000024458.1)". The record is from RNAcentral. Lineage: Eukaryota; Metazoa; Chordata; Mammalia; Artiodactyla; Delphinidae.
CCCAGUUGAAUUUGAAUUUCAGAGAAACAAUGAAUAUUUUUUUAGUGUGUAAGUAUGUACCAUGCAAUGUUUGGGACAUACUUAUACUACACAAUUAUUCAUUUACAUGAGAUUCAAAUUU